AAAGAAAGAGAGGGGCAUGCCUAACACAUGCGAGUCGAACGAGACCUUCGGGUCUAGUGGCGCACGGGUGCGUAACGCGUGGGAACCUGCCCUUAGGUUCGGAAUAACUCCCCGAAAGGGGUGCUAAUACCGGAUAAUGUCUUCGGACCAAAGAUUUAUCGCCUUUGGAUGGGCCCGCGUUGGAUUAGCUAGUUGGUAGGGUAAAAGCCUACCAAGGCGACGAUCCAUAGCUGGUCUGAGAGGAUGAUCAGCCACACUGGGACUGAGACACGGCCCAGACUCCUACGGGAGGCAGCAGUGGGGAAUAUUGGACAAUGGGCGAAAGCCUGAUCCAGCAAUGCCGCGUGAGUGAUGAAGGCCUUAGGGUUGUAAAGCUCUUUUACCCGGGAUGAUAAUGACAGUACCGGGAGAAUAAGCUCCGGCUAACUCCGUG
This 433-nucleotide ribosomal RNA is filed under the name uncultured bacterium. Its description in RNAcentral is "partial 16S ribosomal RNA". It matches the Rfam family "Bacterial small subunit ribosomal RNA", at positions 39 to 507 of the family's 1533-position model. The record is from RNAcentral.